This 75-nucleotide transfer RNA is filed under the name Sulfurimonas sp. RNAcentral describes it as "tRNA-Glu". It matches the Rfam family "tRNA". Rfam says of the family: Transfer RNA (tRNA) molecules are approximately 80 nucleotides in length. Their secondary structure includes four short double-helical elements and three loops (D, anti-codon, and T loops). The record is from RNAcentral. Lineage: Bacteria; Pseudomonadati; Campylobacterota; Epsilonproteobacteria; Campylobacterales; Sulfurimonadaceae. RNAcentral also lists the same sequence under 8 other names.
GGCCCCAUCAUCUAAUGGUUAGGAUUCAUGGUUUUCAUCCAUGCCAUAGGAGUUCAAAUCUCCUUGGGGUCACCA